RNAcentral lists this non-coding RNA (594 nucleotides) under Cardamine hirsuta (hairy bittercress). The record is from RNAcentral. Lineage: Eukaryota; Viridiplantae; Streptophyta; Magnoliopsida; Brassicales; Brassicaceae.
CAUAUUUUUUUUGCUUUCCUUUACUUUAGCUAAGCUACAGAUAGUUCAUAGUUAAAAUUAUAAGAAUUGAGAAAGCAAAAAAAAAGAGAGGAAAAACUCAAACUUUAUCUGUGGAAAUUGAUGACACUGAAUAAGAGAGAACUUGCCAAAAGUCCCAAUUUAAUUACAUGUAUAACCCAAUACUUCCACUUUUCAGAUUUAAUAAUCUAAGUCAGGCUUUUCUAAGCAUUCUAUGAACAGCAUUAUCGAAUCACAAGUUAAUCAAAUUUGAAACGAAGUACGCAGUCAGAUGCAAUUCAAGAAACAUGCUAAAUCCUAAAAUCUCAGAUAUUAAGAAAAUAAUUAAUAAUUAGAGAGAUUAGAUUAACUCACGCUGGAGCUCGGAGGAAUUGGAGACGACGACCGCCGGGAGCUAGAGGAGAGAGCUCAGCAAAAUGACGAAGACAAAAAACCUCGCAACGACGACGUUUUGCUUCUAAGGUUUUAAUUUUACAUUAUUAAAAUUAAAUAAAUAGUAAACACGUAGAAAUUGGAAAGUCUUAUUAAAACCCUUACACUAGAGCUCAAAAAUCGCACCUUUGUCCGGCGAAAGAA